AUUCGUUUCGGCAGCACAUGUACUAUAAUUGGAAUGAUAUAGAAAAGAUUAGCAUUGCCCUUGUGCAAGAAUGACCUGCAAAUAUGAGGUGUUCCAUGUUUUG
Rhincodon typus (whale shark) is the source of this 103-nucleotide small nuclear RNA. The record is from RefSeq and is a predicted model, not a curated record. Lineage: Eukaryota; Metazoa; Chordata; Chondrichthyes; Orectolobiformes; Rhincodontidae.